UGAGGAAUAUUGGUCAAUGGUCGCAAGACUGAACCAGCCAUGCCGCGUGCAGGAUGAAGGUCCUAUGGAUUGUAAACUGCUUUUUUAUGGGAAGAAAAAGUUUUACGUGUAAGACAUUGACGGUACCAUAAGAAUAAGCACCGGCUAACUACGUGCCAGCAGCCGCGGUAAUACGUAGGGUGCAAGCGUUAUCCGGAAUUAUUGGGUUUAAAGGGCGUGCAGGCGGGCUUGUAAGUCAGCGGUGAAAGUUUAUGGCUUAACCAUAAAAUUGCCAUUGAUACUGCUAGUCUUGAGAAGAAUCGGCGUGGAUGGAAUGUGUGGUGUAGCGGUGAAAUGCGUAGAUAUCACACAGAACACCGAUAGUGAAGACAGUUCACGAGGUUUUUCUGACGCUCAGGCG
This 400-nucleotide ribosomal RNA is filed under the name uncultured bacterium. RNAcentral describes it as "bacterial SSU rRNA". It matches the Rfam family "Bacterial small subunit ribosomal RNA", at positions 355 to 753 of the family's 1533-position model. The record is from RNAcentral.